AGGAGAAAGAGGCUUUCAUCAUUUCACAGCUGAAGGCAAAAGGCUUGACUGUGCGUGACGAGCAAGGACGAAGGCGGACUCUGAACAGCGAAGAGAUGGCCGUGUUUUACAAAAGCUUCCUGGA
This is a non-coding RNA of Plectropomus leopardus (leopard coralgrouper), 124 nucleotides long. The record is from RefSeq and is a predicted model, not a curated record. Lineage: Eukaryota; Metazoa; Chordata; Actinopteri; Perciformes; Serranidae.